UACAAAGAGAACACGAGGUUUGGAUAUCAAAGUGUGCACAAAACGUUAAAAACUUCGAAGUCAACACUGGUGGCCCCCAGAGUCAGCUUCCUGGUGAGACGCUUCAGUUCUUUGAAGGAUGCAAAUGUUAAUUUUUCAUAGAACUGCUCCUUGAAGAGCUCAGCGCGCAGCAUAGUCAGCUGUCUGCAUCAAGGGCAUCGCUUCUUCAGACACUGUGUUGGUCCUUGUGGCUCACCCUGACUUCUUUCAAUCCUCCCUAAGACUGGAUGGCUCCAACAGGGCUCUCAUUACCACAUGCGAGCCCGCUGGGCAGAGAACCCUUCAGUUCACAACGAUCUCUAAGUUAAAGUAUGGUCAACCUUAAGCUGGAGCAAAUCUCUGCUGCCGUGGUUGUCUCUGGAAGGUUGGAGUUCCUCAUAGGAGCUGACUCACCCGGGAGGGCUCUCUACGUACUGUGGAACUCUCAGGUGAUGUCAGUGGUGACUAGGAGAUGUGUGGAAAACGAAUUGAUUACAACUGAAUUAUAAAAACAAUGACCUGGCAGAGGUUAGUACAAAUAUGACCUUGUCUGAAAUGUCAUAUG
This is a long non-coding RNA of Mus musculus (house mouse), 583 nucleotides long. RefSeq annotates it as predicted gene, 45940. NCBI's taxonomy places the organism in Eukaryota, Metazoa, Chordata, Mammalia, Rodentia, Muridae. The transcript is spliced from 3 exons. The record is from RefSeq and is a predicted model, not a curated record.